AACUCAGACGAGACUACCCGCUGAACUUAAGCAUAU
This 36-nucleotide ribosomal RNA is filed under the name Hemicaloosia guangzhouensis. Its description in RNAcentral is "partial 28S ribosomal RNA". Lineage: Eukaryota; Metazoa; Nematoda; Chromadorea; Rhabditida; Hemicycliophoridae. The record is from RNAcentral.